RNAcentral lists this ribosomal RNA (399 nucleotides) under uncultured bacterium. RNAcentral describes it as "bacterial SSU rRNA". It matches the Rfam family "Bacterial small subunit ribosomal RNA", at positions 355 to 772 of the family's 1533-position model. The record is from RNAcentral.
UAGGGAAUAUUGGUAAUGUGCGAAAGAGCGAACCAGCAACGCCGCGUGCACGAUGAGGCCUUCGGGUCGUAAAGUGCUUUUAGAGAGGAUGAGGAAGGACAGUACUUUCUGAAUAAGCCUCGGCUAACUACGUGCCAGCAGCCGCGGUAAAACGUAGGAGGCAAGCGUUAUCCGGAUUUACUGGGCGUAAAGCGCAUGCAGGUGGUUUUGUAAGUUGGAUGUGAAAGCUCCUGGCUUAACUGGGAGAGGUCGUUCAAAACUACAAGACUUGAGAUUGGUAGAGGAAAAUGGAAUUCCGGGUGUAGUGGUGAAAUGCGUAGAUAUCCGGAGGAACACCAGUGGCGAAAGCGGUUUUCUGGACCAAUGCUGACACUCAGAUGCGAAAGCUAAGGUAGCAAA